ACACUCCUGCGGGAGGCAGCAGUGGGGAAUAUUGCACAAUGGGCGCAAGCCUGAUGCAGCCAUGCCGCGUGUAUGAAGAAGGCCUUCGGGUUGUAAAGUACUUUCAGCGGGGAGGAAGGCGAUAAGGUUAAUAACCUUGUCGAUUGACGUUACCCGCAGAAGAAGCACCGGCUAACUCCGUGCCAGCAGCCGCGGUAAUACGGAGGGUGCAAGCGUUAAUCGGAAUUACUGGGCGUAAAGCGCACGCAGUCGGUCUGUCAAGUCGGAUGUGAAAUCCCCGGGCUCAACCUGGGAACUGCAUUCGAAACUGGCAGGCUAGAGUCUUGUAGAGGGGGGUAGAAUUCCAGGUGUAGCGGUGAAAUGCGUAGAGAUCUGGAGGAAUACCGGUGGCGAAGGCGGCCCCCUGGACAAAGACUGACGCUCAGGUGCGAAAGCGUGGGGAGCAAACAGGAUUAGAUACCCUUGUAGUCCC
RNAcentral lists this ribosomal RNA (472 nucleotides) under uncultured organism. RNAcentral's name for it is "partial 16S ribosomal RNA". It matches the Rfam family "Bacterial small subunit ribosomal RNA", at positions 333 to 797 of the family's 1533-position model. The record is from RNAcentral.